RNAcentral lists this long non-coding RNA (257 nucleotides) under Lathyrus oleraceus (garden pea). RNAcentral describes it as "Pisum sativum (pea) long non-coding RNA (PSAT_LNC002321)". Lineage: Eukaryota; Viridiplantae; Streptophyta; Magnoliopsida; Fabales; Fabaceae. The record is from RNAcentral.
UUGCGUUCGAUCUUUUCUUCAGCAGUAUCAAGUUUUCGGGAAGAUCCUUCACAACAAGCAACUGUAAAUGGAGUGAUCCUUUCCUCCACUACCACUAAUGGUUAUCACCUAAUCCAACAAUACACCAAGAACCUAAAAUACAUGCAGCAAAUGAUACCCAACAGUAGAAAUAAACCAAAUGUAAAACAGUAAAACUUGGGAAAUAACCAAAUAAAACAUAAAAAAAUGAAAAAUAAAAGCAAAAAGCAUAGUAAAAC